RNAcentral lists this long non-coding RNA (1192 nucleotides) under Vulpes vulpes (red fox). RNAcentral describes it as "lncRNA (ENSVVUG00000027546.1)". Lineage: Eukaryota; Metazoa; Chordata; Mammalia; Carnivora; Canidae. The record is from RNAcentral.
GUGGCGGCUCCCUGCCCCCGGCCCCCGCAGGACCCUGUGCUGUCAGGCACCCCCGAGACACCCCCAGGCCUCCGACCUGGAUGUUUUGGCUUCAGGAUCCACACGAUCAAAUGCCACCAAAGGCGAAGAUGCUAGAUCUGGAGGGUUCUGGCAAGCUCACCAUCCUCCGAGGCUGCCCGGGGCUGCCAGGGGCCGUGGGGUCCAAGGGAGACGCAGGCGUCGAUGGAGCGAGAGGUAGCACCCCGGGCUCGGGGUGGGGUGACCCAGAGCCUGCUCUUCUCCAGGUAGAGCCCGGGGUGGCCAUGCCCCCUGCACUUGCAGGUGGGGGCGUGGGUCUUGCCCUGCACACAGUGGGGUCAGAGCCACGCGGCUCUGCUGUGGGUGGAGUCGGAUCCUCAGGGGAGGGGCUCACAAUGGCCCGACCUCCACGGCAUCUGGGGAGGCAGUGCCCACCGGCUCACCCUGCACGGAACCCACUGCAGGAGAGGCCGGCUGUGUCCCGUGGGGACCGGUGGGACAGGAUCUCCUGGGAUGUGCCCCGUGUUCCAGGCUCUGACUAGACCAUAGGGCUCCGUGGGGGUAGCUGAACCGGGGCCCUGUACAUAGGUCAGCGGAGUCAGGGGUCAGCAGUGGACUGGGGCCGGGGCUGCAGGUGACUAUCUGGUCUCCACUUGGGCUUGGGCUUCUCCCAGGGGCUGCUCGGUGUACCCUAGGGCGGCUCUAUCCACCCUGGGGCAGCUCCGUCCACCCUGGAGCAACUCUGUCCAUCCAGGGGCAGCUGGGUCCAUCCCAGGGCAGCCCCAUCCACCCCAGGGCAGCUCUGUCCACCCCGGGGGCAGCGUUCUGAGGAUAAGUAGUGCUGGGUGGACCUUACUACUUGGGGCAAAGAGCUCACAUGGAAUCGUUGGGCUGCACCUUUGUCCACGAUGCCCAUGUCCUUGGAGUUUGCAGGAGCACCUGGUCCCCCUGGAGACCCUGGGAAGGCCAGACCACCAGGACCCAAACAAAGGUAGCAACAUGAUAAAGCGCAUGAACCCCUGUGUGAGACCCUGGGUCUGUUCAUAGAGAGAUGAGAGAGGAGCACAGACAGAGGAUGGGGUGAUGGGGAAAGAGAGACGGGGAGGGACAGAGCAGCAGAGUGACAGGGAGGGACAGGUCAUAGGUCCAUUUCCAAGGAGCCUGGAGAUCGUGU